GGCGGGAUAGCUCAGUGGUAGAGCACCGGGCUCAUAAUCCGGAGUGCGCUGGUUCGAGCCCAGCUCCCGUCA
This 72-nucleotide transfer RNA is filed under the name Microbacterium sp. 77mftsu3.1. Its description in RNAcentral is "tRNA_Met_CAT". It matches the Rfam family "tRNA". From Rfam's summary of the family: Transfer RNA (tRNA) molecules are approximately 80 nucleotides in length. Their secondary structure includes four short double-helical elements and three loops (D, anti-codon, and T loops). Lineage: Bacteria; Bacillati; Actinomycetota; Actinomycetes; Micrococcales; Microbacteriaceae. The record is from RNAcentral.